Molecule: long non-coding RNA, 2086 nt
Organism: Equus caballus (horse)
Lineage: Eukaryota; Metazoa; Chordata; Mammalia; Perissodactyla; Equidae
Source: Ensembl
GUGUGUAAAUUGCCAUGGUGUUCUCUCAAAAAGGUUCAAAUUAAGUGAAUAUCUGACAUCUCCGUGGCCUUCAAAAGCAUUGUAUGCAAAAUAAGUGCAGAACUUCAGUUCUAAAUACUGCCAGGAGCCUCCUGGUAAAUGAGGAGAGGCAAAGCCUGGCCUUACCUGUGGCCAGGCCCUUGGCCCACACCUGGGAGACACUUCCAAGAUUGGACUGUUUUCCUGGAGUAUCUCUCCCCUUCUCUGCUCUUCUCUGUCUUUUCUUCUGCAUUUUUCGGGGAGGGAAGAUGGUUCUUCACUUCUUUUAAAUCUUUUGGGGUUUUUUGGUGAGGAAGAUUGGCCCUGAGCUAACGUCUGUGCUAAUCUUCCUGUAUUUUUUUUUUAUGUGGGACACCACCACAGCAUGGCUUGACAAGUGGUGCUAGGUCCUCAUCUGGGAUCGAAACCUACAAACCCUGGGUCUCUGAAGUGGAGUGCACAAACUAAACCACUAUGCCACUGGGCCAGCCCCUUUUUUAUUUUAAAUGUUGUCAUAAAAUUGAUGCUCCUGGAAGGUGUACCAUGAAUAUUCUCCUGUUUUUUAUCCUACCUGCACAGAAUUCUGGCUGUUCCUACUCCAGUUUGAGAGUAUCGUAACUGUAACCAGACUGUGAACCAGACUAUCAGGAGUCAGAAAAGUUGCAUGGAUGUGGUCCCCCAAAGAAGCUUAGGGGAUCAUUUUGCUGUGCAGACAAGUCUCCUGACUGUAAAAUGCAGGAGUUGGUCCAAUCUACUGUGAUGUUUUUCUUUUGGUAAUAGUGGCAUGGAGCAGUCACUCCAAGAGGUGUGACUAAGGAAUAAACCAUUCAGCCAGCCUGAGGUUGCAAAGGGUGCUCCAUGGUGAGCCAGAUGCCUCACAGUGCCCACAGAGUGAAUUUAUGACAAGAGACAGCACCCAGAGCUGGAGACCAGACAAUGGGGCUGGAGGAGACCUCAAGAACAAGAGUGGGAGCAAACAGACCAGAUAGGAGAAAUCUCAAGUGUAAGUUUACUGAGUUCUGAUAAUUGCAUACCUCUGGGUAAUCCAAACUCCUCUCCAAACAUUGACCAUGACCAUCAGGUUGAAAACCAUGAACACUUCAUACUUUCAUGAUGGGGGUGAAGGGGUUUAAAGAGAUGACUUCUAAGAUCCUUCCAGGCUCUGCUGAGCCCUCUACCAGAUUGACUUGCCCAUGUUACUUCUAGGUCCCACGCUCUGUCCCUCCCGAAUGGUACACAGCUCUCGCUGGGUUCCAGAGAAAAUUGGGCAGCUCGACAAUGAACAUGAUGUGUUUCCCCAAGUCUCAUUUUUAAGGCGGCUUUAUCAGGUUUAAUUAGACAGCUGCCAUCUCUUGUGGCUUGCAGUGUAUAUUUAAGGAGAGAAACAUGAGUCGUCCUCUGUGAAAUGAAAAACAACAUCAUCAAAACUGUCUCUCCACUGCUCUGCUGGCUCCUUACCCACAGCCUAGAAACAUGUUCCAGUUCCUUCCAGGGCUCAGUGGAGAGUUUCUUGGUAAAGAUGCACAGAUUGUGUUAGCUUUGAUAGCAGUGUGUUCAUAGAAAAAUGUCUAAAAUGGAGUGAAAGAUUCAGGCAGGAAAUAUUUGGGUUGAAAAGAGCAAACUAGUUUGUUGUGGAGUAUGAGAGAAGCUUGACCCAAGAAGACAAUGCUAAGUAUAUUUCCCAUUCUGUGUUCAAUUCUGACCUUGAACACUCACCCAGUGCAUUUAAGGCCCUUAAGGAAGGUAGGUGAGUGUGUGUGUACAGGUAGGGGAACAAAUGGUAGGAGAUGGAAGGAUGGAGUGAAAGAGGCUCUCAGUAGAUUGAAAAUUCCCAAACAGCAAGGCAGCAUGAAAGGUAUUGCUUCUCCUUCCUCCAUUCAUGUUUCAGGGGCUCAUGAUUCUUUUUUACAUCUUUUUCUUCUGUAUUCAUCCUUUGCUAACUGUUUCCAGAUUCCCCUGGAUAACAAUGUCAAGUGGUAGAUAGUCCAGUGGGAGAACUGCAUAUUCUCUUGCCCAUUUUACCACUGGUAUCUGAUGGGGAUGGCCCCACUCACACCUUUAUUUUGUU